This 253-nucleotide ribosomal RNA is filed under the name uncultured bacterium. Its description in RNAcentral is "partial 16S ribosomal RNA". It matches the Rfam family "Bacterial small subunit ribosomal RNA", at positions 524 to 776 of the family's 1533-position model. The record is from RNAcentral.
UACGGAGGGUGCGAGCGUUGUCCGGAAUCAUUGGGCGUAAAGGGCGCGUAGUUGGCCCGGUCAGUUCGUGGUGAAAGCGCGGGGCUCAACUCCGCGUCGGCCAUGAAUACUGCUGGGCUUGAGCACUGUAGAGGCUCAUGGAAUUCCGGGUGUAGCGGUGGAAUGCGUAGAGAUCCGGAAGAACACCGGUGGCGAAGGCGGUGAGCUGGGCAGUAGCUGACACUGAGGCGCGACAGCGUGGGGAGCAAACAGG